Molecule: long non-coding RNA, 113 nt
Organism: Myotis brandtii (Brandt's bat)
Lineage: Eukaryota; Metazoa; Chordata; Mammalia; Chiroptera; Vespertilionidae
Exons: 3
Source: RefSeq, a predicted model, not a curated record
CACCCCCAACCAGGGAUUGAGCUCGCAACCUGGAUCUGAGAAUUCUUGGGCAAGAAGCGAGGAUGUCACAGAGGCAUCUGUGCUGCCAGUGAAGCCAAAAGACCCUGGGAAAG